RNAcentral lists this ribosomal RNA (305 nucleotides) under Klebsiella pneumoniae. RNAcentral's name for it is "partial 16S ribosomal RNA". It matches the Rfam family "Bacterial small subunit ribosomal RNA", at positions 1 to 298 of the family's 1533-position model. Lineage: Bacteria; Pseudomonadati; Pseudomonadota; Gammaproteobacteria; Enterobacterales; Enterobacteriaceae. The record is from RNAcentral.
UUUAAUGAGAGUUUGAUCCUGGCUCAGGACGAACGCUGGCGGCGUGCCUAAUACAUGCAAGUAGAACGCUGAAGGAGGAGCUUGCUUCUCUGGAUGAGUUGCGAACGGGUGAGUAACGCGUAGGUAACCUGCCUGGUAGCGGGGGAUAACUAUUGGAAACGAUAGCUAAUACCGCAUAAGAGUAGAUGUUGCAUGACAUUUGCUUAAAAGGUGCACUUGCAUCACUACCAGAUGGACCUGCGUUGUAUUAGCUAGUUGGUGGGGUAACGGCUCACCAAGGCGACGAUACAUAGCCGACCUGAGAG